AUUUGGCGGACGGGUGAGUAUACGUGAGAAUCUACCUUUAGAAGGGAAUAACAAUUGGAAACGAUUGCUAAUGCCCUAUAUGCUUAGCAGUGAAACAGAUUUAUCUGCCUGAAGAUGAGCUCGCGCCUGAUUAGCUAGUUGGUAGAGUAAAAGCCUACCAAGGGCAACGAUCAGUAGCUGGUUUGAGAGGACGAUCAGCCACACUGGGACUGAGACACGGCCCAGACUUCUACGGAAGGCAGCAGUGGGGAAUUUUCCGCAAUGAGCGAAAGCUUGACGGAGCCAAUACCGCGUGAGGGAAGAAUGCCUGUGGGUUGUAAACCUCUUUUUUUAGGGAAGAACAAUAUGACGGUACCUAAAGAAUAAGCAUCGGCUAACUCCGUGCCAGCAGCCGCGGUAAAUACGGGGGAUGCAAGCGUUAUCCGGAAUUACUGGGCGUAAAGCGUCUGCAGGUGGCUUAAAAAGUCUGCUGUUCAAAUAUUAGAGCUCAACUCUGAGUAAGCAGUGGAAACUGUUAGGCUAGAGUAUGGUAUGGGUAAACGGGAACUCC
RNAcentral lists this ribosomal RNA (550 nucleotides) under uncultured Corallina sp. RNAcentral describes it as "bacterial SSU rRNA". It matches the Rfam family "Bacterial small subunit ribosomal RNA", at positions 93 to 670 of the family's 1533-position model. Lineage: Eukaryota; Rhodophyta; Florideophyceae; Corallinales; Corallinaceae. The record is from RNAcentral.